GCCUGUUUUUCCUUAGCUUUAACCUUUUGGUAGUUUCAUCGUCAAAUCGCCGAUUAGGGUUUCUUCAAACAAAUCGUAACACCGUCGUCCUGUCUCCGCCAUGAGAGCCAAGUGGAAGAAGAAGCGUAUGAGAAGGUUGAAGAGGAAGAGACGAAAGAUGAGACAGAGAUCCAAGUAGAGCCUGAGAACUGCUUCGCUUUCCUCCUGUUCCCUCAGUUUUUGUCCGACUGAAUUCGCGGUUUCUCCGUUUCGAUCUGUCUGAACUUAUUUUCUAGUUUUCUGGGCUAUAUUUCUGUUGGAUAAUCUUGAUCAUUAAUUUAUGCUCGUCCUUCGUUCCGCCUUCCCAAUC
Long non-coding RNA from Tarenaya hassleriana, 349 nucleotides. RefSeq lists it as uncharacterized. The transcript has 2 exons. The record is from RefSeq and is a predicted model, not a curated record. NCBI's taxonomy places the organism in Eukaryota, Viridiplantae, Streptophyta, Magnoliopsida, Brassicales, Cleomaceae.